AGUGAACGCUGGCGGUAGGCCUAACACAUGCAAGUCGAACGGCAGCACAGUAAGAGCUUGCUCUUACGGGUGGCGAGUGGCAGACGGGUGAGGAAUACAUCGGAAUCUACUUUUUCGUGGGGGAUAACGUAGGGAAACUUACGCUAAUACCGCAUACGACCUACGGGUGAAAGCAGGGGAUCUUCGGACCUUGCGCGAUUGAAUGAGCCGAUGUCGGAUUAGCUAGUUGGCGGGGUAAAGGCCCACCAAGGCGACGAUCCGUAGCUGGUCUGAGAGGAUGAUCGGCCACACUGGAACUGAGACACGGUCCAGACUCCUACGGGAGGCAGCAGUGGGGAAUCUUGGGCAAUGGGCGCAAGCCUGACCCAGCAAUACCGCGUGAGUGAAGAAGGCCUUCGGGUUGUAAAGCCCUUUUAUUGGGAAAGAACAGAAGCAGAUUAAUACACCGCUGUCCUGACGGUACCCAAAGAAUAAGCACCGGCUAACUUCGUG
Molecule: ribosomal RNA, 492 nt
Filed under: uncultured bacterium
Lineage: Bacteria
Description: partial 16S ribosomal RNA
Rfam family: Bacterial small subunit ribosomal RNA
Source: RNAcentral